RNAcentral lists this ribosomal RNA (497 nucleotides) under uncultured bacterium. Its description in RNAcentral is "partial 16S ribosomal RNA". It matches the Rfam family "Bacterial small subunit ribosomal RNA", at positions 28 to 507 of the family's 1533-position model. The record is from RNAcentral.
GAUGAACGCUGGCGGCGUGCUUAAUACAUGCAAGUCGAGCGAACGGACGAGGAGCUUGCUUCUCUGGUGUUAGCGGCGGACGGGUGAGUAACACGUGGAUAACCUACCUAUAAGACUGGGAUAACUUCGGGAAACCGGAGCUAAUACCGGAUAAUAUUUUGAACCGCAUGGUUGAAAAGUGAAAGACGUUCUUGCUGUCACCUAUAGAUGGAUCCGCGCUGCAGUGGCUAGUUGGUAAGGUAACGGCUUACGAAGGCAACGAUGCAUAGCCGAACUGAGAGGGUGAACGGCCACUCUGGAACUGGGCCACGGUCCUGACUCCUACGGGAGGCAGCAGUAGGUAAGCGACGGAGAAGGGCGGAAGCCUGACGGAGCAGCGCCGCGUGGGUGAUGAAGGUCUUCGGAUCGUAUAACUCUGUUAUUAGGGAAGACCAUAUGUGUAAGUAACUAUGCACUUCUUGACGGUACCUAAUCAGAAAGCCACGGCUAACUACGUG